AGAGUUUGAUCAUGGCUCAGAUUGAACGCUGUGCGGAAUGCUUUACACAUGCAAGUCGAACGGCAGCACGGACUUCGGUCUGGUGGCGAGUGGCGAACGGGUGAGUAAUACAUCGGAACGUGCCCAGUCGUGGGGGAUAACGUAGCGAAAGCUACGCUAAUACCGCAUACAAUCUAAGGAUGAAAGCGGGGGAUCGCAAGACCUCGCGCGAUUGGAGCGGCCGAUGGCAGAUUAGGUAGUUGGUGGGGUAAAGGCUCACCAAGCCGACGAUCUGUAGCUGGUCUGAGAGGACGACCAGCCACACUGGGACUGAGACACGGCCCAGACUCCUACGGGAGGCAGCAGUGGGGAAUUUUGGACAAUGGGCGCAAGCCUGAUCCAGCCAUUCCGCGUGCAGGAUGAAGGCCCUCGGGUUGUAAACUGCUUUUGUACGGAACGAAAAGGCUCUGGUUAAUACCUGGGGCUCAUGACGGUACCGUAAGAAUAAGCACCGGCUAACUACGUGCCAGCAGCCGCGGUAAUACGUAGGGUGCAAGCGUUAAUCGGAAUUACUGGGCGUAAAGCGUGCGCAGGCGGUGAUGUAAGACAGAGGUGAAAUCCCCGGGCUCAACCUGGGAACUGCCUUUGUGACUGCAUCGCUGGAGUACGGCAGAGGGGGAUGGAAUUCCGCGUGUAGCAGUGAAAUGCGUAGAUAUGCGGA
This 700-nucleotide ribosomal RNA is filed under the name uncultured bacterium. Its description in RNAcentral is "bacterial SSU rRNA". It matches the Rfam family "Bacterial small subunit ribosomal RNA", at positions 8 to 702 of the family's 1533-position model. The record is from RNAcentral.